CGCAUCUCGGCGCCGGGCGAGGGGUCCCAGGGUCACCAGCCGCCCCGCCCCAGAGGUGGCCGCAUCUCGGCGCCGGGCGAGGGGUCCCAGGGUCACCAGCCACCCGCCCCAGAGGUGGGCGCAUAUUGGCGCCAGGCGAGGGGUCCCUGGGUCACCAGCCGCCCCGCCCCAGAGGUGGCCGCGUCUUAAACUAACUCCUCUCUGCUCCCGUCUCUUUCCUUUCCAGUUUACUUCAGCACUUAAUGGACCCUCGGAAGCCAAAGCCCCCCCUCCCUCCCCCCAAAGGAGCUGCGGCCGGGAGAGGCGCGAGGGGCUGCGACCCCCCCCCAUGAUCUCAGCCAUAUCUUCCAGCCUCCCCCUCCCCUUCUCCCCCGGGCCCCCCCCCGUGGCGUGUGUGUGUGUGUUGCGGUGCGUGUGGCCGUCCUGUAUAUAGGCUGACUUAUUUAUACAUAUAUAUAUAUUCUAUAUUUUGUCUGUUUGUAGAUUUAUUACUAGAUUUACAGCUGUCAUGCCCCCCCCCAAAAAAUACCUGCUCCCCGCCGGUGUUUUCAGUGUCUAGUGUUUUAAUUUAAAUAUUUUAAGGACCAAUUCCCCCCCCCCCAAAAAAAAAGUAAAAUAGGGGGAGCCCAGAAGCCUGAGAAACUCAAGCGCCCACCCCUGCCCUUUCAGAGCAACGUGAGAGCUGGGUCCCCCAGUUUGGCUAUGUCUCAGCGCCUGUAUGAACAGCUGCCCGCCCCAGAGUUGGCUGCAUCUCCGCGCCGGGCGAGGGGUCCCUGGAUAACCGGCCGCCCCGCCCCAGAGCUGGCCGCCUCUUGGCGCCGGGCGAGGGGUCCCUGGAUAACCGGCCGCCCCGCCCCAGAGCUGGCCGCCUCUUGGCGCCGGGCGAGGGGUCCCUGGAUAACCGGCCUCCCCGCCCCAGAGCUGGCCGCAUCUCACACCACACAAGGGGGGGGGUGUCAUAAGUGUCUUUACCUUCCUCUCCCCCCUCCCUGACCCUGUGAGCUUCUGUAAAAUUCCUGGAUCUGUACUGUGCAGUCUGUCUUUGGGGGGGGACUAGGGGUUGAUCUUCCUACCCCCCCAUACACAUACACACACCUCAUGUGGGGGAGAGGACAGUGCUGUCACACCCCCAGCUCCAAGCCCUUUAAGACUCUUAGGGUGGGGGUUGCAUGGGGAAAGGGGAGGAGCCCCUAAAUCCACCCCUCCUCCACGGCCCAGCGGUUCCAGCUUCUCUCCUCUGGGGGUGGAGGGAGGGGGCAGGCUGGCUCCCCAUUAACUCUGUCUGACCCCAGAGUGCCCCCCACCCAGCAACAGGGCCCAGGCCUGGCUGGGGCAGGGGGGCUGGAUUAGUCUUGUCUUGCGGGGGGGAAGAAGCAGGCACAGCCUAGAGCCAGCGACCUCCUUCCCCCCACCCCACCUCCCCCAGAGUGGGCACAGAUGGGGCAUUCCCCUUCCCCACCCGCUAAUGGGGGGUUCCCCUGGUGGCCAGCAGGGGGCGAUCCCUGAGCAGCUCUGCAAUGUAUCCCUGUGUCGUGUGAUGAGUCACCCCCACCUUGCCCUGUCCCCCUCCCUCAGCCCCUCGAGUCAGUCAUCUGUAGCAUUAAACCUUCCUUGCUAGCCCCAUAGCGCUAAACCUCUCCCAGCUCCGAGACAGCCCCAUAGCGCGACCCCUCCCCCCGCCAACCCCUCAGCACGACCCCUCCGCCCGCCAACCCCUAUAGAACGAUCCCCCCCCCGCACACACACACACACACCCGCUUAGGAGACAUGACGUGUGACUGUGUCCUGCUGGACUCUCCAGGCUGAGUGCUCGCUGGGGGGGGGGGGGCGGAUUGCCCCCCCCCCCACCAGCUUGGAGGGACAUUGGCAGGGGAUCCCCUACGAUGCCCGCUUUGGCAGGGCGCAGCCUGGCGGGUCCUCUGCUCCCCAUCUGGAGGGAACGCGGGAGCUAAGGACCUGGCUGGCUCUGCCCUCUGUGAGGCUGGCUUGGCAGCGGGGUGCCCUGGGGGUCCCUUCAACCAGGCUGCGUGGAUUGUGAACUGCUGGGGAACAGAGAGUGGGGGGGCAGAUCCCAGGCUGUGUUUUCCCUUGGCCGGGGGGCAGGUGUCACUGCUGCCCCUUGGCUUUGGGGGCACAGGGUCCACCGUGACCCACGGUGGGACCAGUGCCCCCUAAUUCUAAAGGCACCUGGGAUGAGAGUGGGGGGGGGCAGAGCUGGCUGGAUUCCCCUAGACCUAGCUGGAGGGAUGGGAGGGGGUUGGUCUUGCCCCCAUGCGCUCCCCAGCAGCAGGCGGGGGGGGGCAAGGCACCCCCUGGAGGGAACGGGGAGUGACUUUAUGCUGUGAAAAUGUACAAUAAAUGUCCUGUGGAGAAAGCCCAA
Dermochelys coriacea (leatherback sea turtle) is the source of this 2380-nucleotide long non-coding RNA. RefSeq lists it as uncharacterized. The record is from RefSeq and is a predicted model, not a curated record. The transcript is spliced from 2 exons. Lineage: Eukaryota; Metazoa; Chordata; Testudines; Dermochelyidae.